RNAcentral lists this transfer RNA (111 nucleotides) under Penicillium brasilianum. It matches the Rfam family "tRNA". Rfam says of the family: Transfer RNA (tRNA) molecules are approximately 80 nucleotides in length. Their secondary structure includes four short double-helical elements and three loops (D, anti-codon, and T loops). The record is from Rfam by way of RNAcentral. Lineage: Eukaryota; Fungi; Ascomycota; Eurotiomycetes; Eurotiales; Aspergillaceae.
GUCAGUUUGGCCGAGUGGUCUAAGGCGCUUGACUUGAACUUCUGGGGAAACCCUACCAUGUUUGGGCAUCAAGUAUCUUCGGAUGCACAGGUUCGAACCCUGUAGCUGACG